GUGCUUGCAUCAGCAGCACAUGUAUUAAAAUUGGAAUGAUACGGAGAGGAUUAGCAUAGCCCCUGUGCAAGCAUAACAUGCAAAUUCAUGAAGUGUUCUGUAUUUUC
Choloepus didactylus (southern two-toed sloth) is the source of this 107-nucleotide small nuclear RNA. The record is from RefSeq and is a predicted model, not a curated record. NCBI's taxonomy places the organism in Eukaryota, Metazoa, Chordata, Mammalia, Pilosa, Megalonychidae.